RNAcentral lists this ribosomal RNA (299 nucleotides) under uncultured bacterium. Its description in RNAcentral is "partial 16S ribosomal RNA". It matches the Rfam family "Bacterial small subunit ribosomal RNA", at positions 475 to 776 of the family's 1533-position model. The record is from RNAcentral.
CUAUGCGCCUUGCCAGCCCGCUCAGGUGUGCCAGCCGCCGCGGUAAUACGUAGGUGGCAAGCAUUGUCCGGAUUUACUGGGUGUAAAGGGCGUGUAGGCGGGAGUGCAAGUCAGAUGUGAAAACUAUGGGCUCAACCCAUAGCCUGCAUUUGAAACUGUACUUCUUGAGUGCUGGAGAGGCAAUCGGAAUUCCGUGUGUAGCGGUGAAAUGCGUAGAUAUACGGAGGAACACCAGUGGCGAAGGCGGAUUGCUGGACAGUAACUGACGCUGAGGCGCGAAAGCGUGGGGAGCAAACAGG